GCCCCCAUAGCUUAACGGACAAAGCGCGACCCUCCGGAGGUUGAGAUUUCCGUUCAAUUCGGAAUGGGGGCA
Molecule: transfer RNA, 72 nt
Filed under: bacterium
Lineage: Bacteria
Description: tRNA-Arg
Rfam family: tRNA
About the family: Transfer RNA (tRNA) molecules are approximately 80 nucleotides in length. Their secondary structure includes four short double-helical elements and three loops (D, anti-codon, and T loops). Further hydrogen bonds mediate the characteristic L-shaped molecular structure. tRNAs have two regions of fundamental functional importance: the anti-codon, which is responsible for specific mRNA codon recognition, and the 3' end, to which the tRNAs corresponding amino acid is attached (by aminoacyl-tRNA synthetases). tRNAs cope with the degeneracy of the genetic code in two manners: having more than one tRNA (with a specific anti-codon) for a particular amino acid; and 'wobble' base-pairing, i.e. permitting non-standard base-pairing at the 3rd anti-codon position.
Source: RNAcentral